GGCCGUACUGUUUUGCUGUUGAAAGUUUACAUAAUGAAUCCUCUGGUCCAUAAUGAACGCGACUUCGACAGCAUAUACAUUCAGUCGUCUCCCGCCACCUUACAGUCAGUUGCUCUCCCGUCGCUGAAAUGCUUUGGGUGAAGUGAAGUUUGGAGUCUAGGGUUUGUUCUUUCUCUCCAACUGAUGGCGAAUUCAGAUGCAGAGUCCGAUAACAGCCGCAAUGGCGAUAGUGGUAUUGGUUAAUACUUGACUUUGCUCCAUUGGGGCAUUUUCUGAAUUGGUUAACUGCAAUAAGCUUCAAGAUGACUGCCGCGAUGCGUGUUUCUCUAAUGGGCAUACCAUCAACAGAAAUCAUCUGAGACUCAGCGCGAUGCCGCUGUAAGUUUUCUCUUUUGCCAAGAAACUCUCAUUUCUAUAAUAGUUAACGACGGUAACUGCUGUUUAAAGACCAAUGGUAAUUGGGAUUUGGGUUUUAAUUGGGGUUGUCUGGUUGGCUCCUCUAGAGCAUCAGUGAUAGGUGUUCUUUUCUACUUUCAGUUACAACCUCAUUUUCUGCUUCAGUUGGAUUAGGAAUUGCAUUAAAGCUAGAAUUGCAUUGAACCUCAUUUUAAAGCUAGACGGUAGUUUCUUAAUUAUGCAUUAUGAACGGUAUGAACAUAGAGUUGAGAAACUGAAUACCUUAGAGAUGCGUGCGUUCAUUAUUGUUAUGGAAGACAAUUCAAGGGAACUAUCGCCAACUCCACUAAGACAAUUCAAGGGAACUAUCGCCAACUCCACUUUGAAACGACAUCACCUUUAUGUUUAAGUAUGGAGUUGAUUUGUGUUUGGUUUAUUGAAAGCGUCUCAUGUUCAAACAGGACGCUAGGGAAACAACCACAGGUAUCCAAUACGUGAACAUGAAGACCCCGUUCGUUUAAGGGUUUUGAAUUUUGGAUUUUGGAUUCUAAUCAUUAUCAUAUUUCUCUCUAAUCAUUACUCUCAUCUCUCUCUCUCUCUCUCCAACCAUUACUUUUAUUUCCAAUCAUUACUCUAUUUAUCUCUACACUCAUUAUCAACAAAUCCAAAUCUAAAAUCCCAAAACGAACAGGGUCGAAGGUAUUCCUUUAUUAUCGCAUUUAGACAUGACAUAAUUGUGGCAAAACCCAAUUAGCUGAAAGGAUCGGAGGAGAAAAUGAAAGUGAUACUUUCCAACAAUUUAAACUGUUCUUUGAUUGCUGCUUUUUCUAGGUGAUGUGCAUUUUAGAGCAGGUAUUAGCUGAAACACUUUGACAUGAUCAAGGAUUAAGAAUUGAUAGAAUGGAUUGUUGCUUCUCAACAUUUAUGUUUGCCAAUAUCAUACCCUCUGCACUUCAUGUUUGCCUCAUGAACGGUGAACGAUCUUUGACGAGAAUCGCAUUCGAACACGACAAUGCAUCCUCGAAUCCCUAUAUUAAAUGAGAGUAUCGGAUAACUCCAACAGCCAGUCACCAUCUAUCUCCCAUGUUUUUGCCAAGUCUCACCUCGUUUAUUGGUCGAGCAAUCCCAGUUUCCCAUUUAUCGCUGCACUCAUUUGAACGUCCUCUUUGACAAAAAUUGAGGAGGAGGUUGCUUAAGAUCUGUUUGCAUUUUCAUGAUUGAGAGCAAAUGAGGUCAUUAGACUCAUCACAAGGUUAGCGCUCUUAAAUAUUUUGUGCUUAUUAUGUCUGCAAUUCCGCAGACCAAGACAAAUGCCAGGAUUUGAAUAUAAGGGAUGUAUUAGGUUUGAUGAGCUGUUUGUCUUUAUGUAGAUGUUUAUGUAGAAAUGCAGCUAUGGCUUUUGGUGAUCUAUACAUGCAUAUGUGUAGUCUCCGGUGGACAGGGGUGGUAAGCGGGAACCACCCUCUAUAUUUUGACUAAUUCUCAUUGGUUCCACCUAUUUUAGGUACUAAAAAAAAUGACUUUUGGUCCAUCUAAAAGUUUUAGUUUAUUGGUUUUUCCCCUCAGAGACAAGAAAGUAAAUAAACAGGUUUAAGAAUUUAACCUUAGCCCCUUCAUAGUAUAAAUAAGUACAUCAUUCAAAGUAUUUCCUCCAAACUUCAAAUCAUUUUGCCUUGGUCCCCUUUGCAGGAUUCUAACGGUUGUGCCAUUGGUCUCAUCCCAGUCAUUCAUUGUCAUGGUUCUCUAUGAUAGUAUAGAAAGUAUAUCUGUAGGAUCCGAGAGUUAAUGAAUGUCAUGCAGUGACAUCCAUGGUGCACGAUGCACGAAGGGGAGAUGUGUUUGCUUUACCUUUGCAUUUAAUUGAUCUCACAAAGGUUGAGCAACCUCCUUGACGAUCUGUCCAUCCCUAGGGGGAAUCUAUGGAAUGACCAUAAAGAUGGGGAGGUUUUGGAAGAAGUUGCUUAGAACCUGUUUGUAUCUUCAUGAUUGAAUCACCAAAUGAUUGAGAAUGAACUAGGGCAUCAAACUCAUCACAAGGUUCGUACUCGUUCUAUUUGGUAGUUAUUUUGUCUGCAAUUUCUCUUUAGCCGGCCUCUCUGAAUUUGCAUCAGUUCAGCCGGUGUCUUAGUUCUAAGAGACGAGUGACAAAAAUGGUGAUCCCUGAAUAAGCUUGGACUACUGUUUUGUAUCUAGAAGAGGAAGUUUGUGCUGCUGUAUCGGGAUGCUGUUCUGGACUUGGUGGUUGCUGCUGUUUUGGGUUGCUAUUCAGGUUUAGGCAUGCUGCUGCUUUUUUAUUGUGAACUUUAGUCGUAGUAUCAGACUUGGUGGUUUUCCUGUUGUGGAAUUUAUUUUCAGACUGUUUCCAUUGUUGGUUUUAGCUAUUUAAUGAGUUGUUUUAGUCUAUUGUUGUGAGUUGCUUUGAUGGUUGUUGAUUCUCCAGGGACUAGUUAAGGAUUUCAGCUUUAAUGACAUUGCUAAUAACAAUUUUAUGGGUUGAUUUGUGUCAAA
Rhododendron vialii is the source of this 2904-nucleotide long non-coding RNA. RefSeq lists it as uncharacterized. NCBI's taxonomy places the organism in Eukaryota, Viridiplantae, Streptophyta, Magnoliopsida, Ericales, Ericaceae. The transcript is spliced from 2 exons. The record is from RefSeq and is a predicted model, not a curated record.